RNAcentral lists this unclassified non-coding RNA (474 nucleotides) under Hevea brasiliensis (rubber tree). The record is from RNAcentral. Lineage: Eukaryota; Viridiplantae; Streptophyta; Magnoliopsida; Malpighiales; Euphorbiaceae.
CGGAUGUUUUUCAACAUAAUCUCUGUGAAAUUCACGAACUGGAAAUUAUCGAAAGCCCUGGAAGGAAUAUUGUCAUCAAAUUUAUGCAUCAUGUCCCAUGGUCCAUCACCAACUCCAACCAGUACUAUCGAUAGCGGAUGCUCACUUGCUUGCCCAAUAGCAUCAAUUGUACUACGCUCCUGAGGACUCAACUGCCCAUUACGUGUAUCUACACUUCUUGUAACCUGCCCAUCAGCGAUGAUCAUGAGAACAUGAUACUGGCCACCACUAUUGUCCACAAUUCCGAUGGCAGUUUCAAUGAUUGGGGCAAAAGAUGUUGGUCCAGCUAAAUGAACAUUUGGAACUAUUUCUCUGUAACGACUCAGUACUUCCUCGAAGCCAUUACAAGGCCUAUCUUCUGGAUGGAAGCUAAAAACUUCUUGAUCAUGAGUAGUGGCAUCGCCAAAACCAUAACAAGGAAUAAGGCUAUCCUCA